This 253-nucleotide ribosomal RNA is filed under the name uncultured bacterium. RNAcentral describes it as "partial 16S ribosomal RNA". It matches the Rfam family "Bacterial small subunit ribosomal RNA", at positions 524 to 776 of the family's 1533-position model. The record is from RNAcentral.
UACGGAGGGGGCUAGCGUUGUUCGGAAUUACUGGGCGUAAAGCGCGCGUAGGCGGACCUGCAAGUCGGGGGUGAAAGCCCGAGGCUCAACCUCGGAACUGCCUUCGAUACUGCGGCUCUCGAGUCCGGGAGAGGUGAGUGGAAUUCCUAGUGUAGAGGUGAAAUUCGUAGAUAUUAGGAAGAACACCAGUGGCGAAGGCGGCUCACUGGCCCGGUACUGACGCUGAGGCGCGAAAGCGUGGGGAGCAAACAGG